CUACGUAGGGUGCAAGCGUUAAUCGGAAUUACUGGGCGUAAAGCGUGCGCAGGCGGUUUUGUAAGACAGUGGUGAAAUCCCCGGGCUCAACCUGGGAACUGCCAUUGUGACUGCAAGGCUGGAGUGCGGCAGAGGGGGAUGGAAUUCCGCGUGUAGCAGGGAAAUGCGUAGAUAUGCGGAGGAACACCGAUGGCGAAGGCAAUCCCCUGGGCCUGCACUGACGCUCAUGCACGAAAGCGUGGGGAGCAAACAGGAUUAGAUACCCUGGUAGUCCACGCCCUAAACGAUGUCAACUGGUUGUUGGGGAUUUAUUUUCUCAGUAACGAAGCUAACGCGUGAAGUUGACCGCCUGGGGAGUACGGCCGCAAGGUUAAAACUCAAAGGAAUUGACGGGG
Molecule: ribosomal RNA, 395 nt
Filed under: uncultured bacterium
Lineage: Bacteria
Description: partial 16S ribosomal RNA
Rfam family: Bacterial small subunit ribosomal RNA
Source: RNAcentral